CAGGCUAUACGGUAGCGUGAACGCAAAGUUCAUGAGGAAAGUCCGAGCAUCACAGAGCAGGAUAGCUGAUAACAUCAGCCGAGGGCGACCUUAGAGCAAGUGCAACAGAGAUAUACCGCCGGAGCGUAUCGUUUCCGGUAAGGGUGGAAAGGCGAGGUAAGAGCUCACCGGAGCAAUAGAGAUAUUGCUGCCAUGUAAACCUUAUCCGAUGCAACACCAAUGGUAACCGUUAAGUCAAUGGCUGCUCGUCAGGCUUGCGGUUAUAGGUGGCUUGAGCUGUCCGGCGACGGUCAGCCUAGAUAGAUUACCGUACACGACAAAACUCGGCUUAUCGGUCUGGUC
RNAcentral lists this RNase P RNA (342 nucleotides) under uncultured Ruminococcus sp. Its description in RNAcentral is "Bacterial RNase P class A". It matches the Rfam family "Bacterial RNase P class A". Rfam says of the family: Ribonuclease P (RNase P) is a ubiquitous endoribonuclease, found in archaea, bacteria and eukarya as well as chloroplasts and mitochondria. Its best characterised activity is the generation of mature 5'-ends of tRNAs by cleaving the 5'-leader elements of precursor-tRNAs. Cellular RNase Ps are ribonucleoproteins. The record is from RNAcentral. Lineage: Bacteria; Bacillati; Bacillota; Clostridia; Eubacteriales; Oscillospiraceae.